Molecule: long non-coding RNA, 1036 nt
Organism: Mus musculus (house mouse)
Lineage: Eukaryota; Metazoa; Chordata; Mammalia; Rodentia; Muridae
Product: predicted gene, 40174
Exons: 2
Source: RefSeq, a predicted model, not a curated record
GCUCCCGUUUUUCCCUGUGUAUGGUAAUAUGAGCUAUAUUGCUCUGUUACUUUUUAUUUUUAAACACACUAGAUUCGGUACUUUGGCUGCAUUUCCCCCUUCUUCUUCGUCUUUCCCCAACCCAACUUUAACAAAGACCGAGGCUUCAAACUCUUUUCAUUGCCAGGCUUGGAAAUCCUGCCAGGUUAAAAAAAAAGUUAUUGAAAACCUUUCUCCCCUUAUAGGCUCGUUUUGACAGGAAAUCUUUGAGAGGCAGCGGCAGUGAGGUGCCCAGAGAUUUCAUCUCUCUUUUGCUUUAGGAAAUGCUGAGCAUAAGGCUCCCUAUUAGGCAAAUAGAAAGAGCAGCAAAAUCCCCCAACGAUCGUCCUCCCCGGCGCCCGGGCUGACAGCCCUCUGCAUCUUAGACCACCAGACAGAGCCACGACUGAGGAUUCUACCUCUCAGAGGCAUGGGAAAAGUUUCUGACAGCGGCUUACAAAAAAUAUUAUUUUGUCUCUCUUUACAGAUCAUCUGGCUCUAUAAAUUUUGCAUGGGCUAAUCACAAUAAAAUCUACCCUGCCGAGAAGGAAUUCCUAUGCAGCGUUUCUGCUUUUGUUCUGCACAAUUUUGACAGGAACUUCCUGUCUGGAUGCCCCCUCUCCCAGUCAUUGGGCUCUGAGGUUUGCCACAUCGCCUUGAGCCACAGUCGUCAGAACAACAGACUUAGAGAGACCAAGCACGGGAGCUGGAAGCAAGGUUUGCCAGGGCAGCUGGGUACUUCUUGGUCUUGCCUGGACUGAGCACAGUUUGCCACUGAGCCGCUGUUGAUGGGGACAAUCUGCAAAAUCACCUUCACUACAGAACUUCCUUAACAAGUGUUGAUGCACAGAUUUCCAAACUCCUCUUGAUCACCCUAUAUUUAAGGUCACUGUCUUAACAUAAAUAUUUUCAUUAUAGUUGUGCCUGUGGAAUUUGCUAAGCAUCGUAUAUGAUAAAGUAGCCUGAAUAUAUCACCAUUAAUUAAUUAGUUGCUAUAAAUAGAUUGAAGAUAAAUGGA